Molecule: long non-coding RNA, 1035 nt
Filed under: Homo sapiens (human)
Lineage: Eukaryota; Metazoa; Chordata; Mammalia; Primates; Hominidae
Description: HSALNT0358184
Source: RNAcentral
UCCCUAGGUUGUUCCCAUGGCUACAACUCCCACUGCGCAGCCGCACUGCUGCGGCUGGGGGCCCUCGCUGGGCUCCCGUGGCGCUAUUGCCUCCCUUUGCACCUUCCGGUCUGCGUGUUGUGAUGGCUCCCUCUGAUGGCAGUCGCUGGAUGCUUCAUCCACGUGUAGUGGUUUUCUUUCCUCUGCACACCUCUCAGUACAUACUCCAGCUGGGACAAUCUUUUCAGAUGAACACCCUGUUUUUAUCCCAGUCUGAUAAAUUUUUCUUGAAAAGAGGUCAAACAGGAAAGCAAACCUUCCUCUGCCUGUCUCAGUGCAAUCAUGAAGAUCACGCAAGAUAGUCCCUGUUGGAGUGUGUGUGCUUCAGCAGUGCAGAGCAUUCAAAGGUUUGAGGUGAAGGCCAAAAUAGAAAUUGCCAUCAAGCUCCAGAUGAUCCUCAGUGAGGGAUACCGCUCUCUCAGUAUUCAAGAGUCACCCUUCCACAGAGAAGCCCUAGACUGCCCAUCAGUGGAAUAUGAGAGAGAGCCAGAGCCUUCAGACCAAGACAAUCGAACAUCCCUGGAUAUCUGAGAUAGCCAGCCUUUCUUCUGGAGAGCUUCCCAGGUAACCAGCAUCCGAAACCCCAGCUGCUGUCUCCAUGGUGAUCAGGAUACCCCCUGUGGUAAGUACCUUGUGAGGGCCACACAAUAUCCAUGGCCGCAGAUGUAUGUGAUAUGCUGAAUUAUUGGCAUGGGGAAGUGUCAGGAAGCAAGGCCACUGAGGCUUCUUUUUAUGCAAUUAAUGAUGUUCAUUUCUGCCUAUCUUUUGCCCAUGCAGCAGAGCAAGGUGCAGAAAGCCACUACAGAAAAUUAGCCAUAAUUUAGGUAAUAUCUCAAAUGCCCCGUCAGUUACUUGAUUAUGUGAUUGAAAGGAACAUUUCAUUUGGAGAUUUGCAAUUUUCUGGUGCUACUGGCAUUACACAAUUACGUUUCCUGUCAUUUAUCACAUUGUGGAAUACCAAGACAAAUUCCUCUCUCCUUACAUUUAUCAUACUAC